AAAAAAUUAAUCAUUCUAUUUUCCCCUUCCCUAUCUCUUAAAUAUUUCCUAACUACCACAUCUAUCCUCCAACUACACCUCACGUUACUUAUAUACAACCAAAAACGAAUACACCUUCCUUCUUCAUAACUAAUAAACUACGACAAAUAUACUUUCAAAAUUCAAAAUAAAAACACUUAAUAUCUAUCAUUCUUUAACAAAAAACUAAAAAAA
Molecule: unclassified non-coding RNA, 213 nt
Filed under: Hevea brasiliensis (rubber tree)
Lineage: Eukaryota; Viridiplantae; Streptophyta; Magnoliopsida; Malpighiales; Euphorbiaceae
Source: RNAcentral